RNAcentral lists this ribosomal RNA (458 nucleotides) under uncultured bacterium. RNAcentral describes it as "partial 16S ribosomal RNA". It matches the Rfam family "Bacterial small subunit ribosomal RNA", at positions 338 to 795 of the family's 1533-position model. The record is from RNAcentral.
CCUACGGGAGGCUGCAGUGAGGAAUAUUGGUCAAUGGGCGAGAGCCUGAACCAGCCAAGUCGCGUGAGGGAGUACUGCCCUAUGGGUUGUAAACCUCUUUUGUCGGGGAGCAAAAGCCGGACGUGUCCGGCUGUGAGAGUACCCGAAGAAAAAGCAUCGGCUAACUCCGUGCCAGCAGCCGCGGUAAUACGGAGGAUGCGAGCGUUAUCCGGAUUUAUUGGGUUUAAAGGGUGCGCAGGCGGAUUUUUAAGUCAACGGUAAAAUCGUGGGGCUCAACCCCAUCCAGCCGUUGAAACUGGGGAUCUAGAGUGUGGGAGAGGUAUGCGGAAUGCGUGGUGUAGCGGUGAAAUGCAGAGAUAUCACGCAGAACCCCGAUUGCGAAGGCAGCAUACCGGUGCACAACUGACGCUCAGGCACGAAAGCGUGGGUAUCGAACAGGAUUAGAUACCCGAGUAGUC